This 2630-nucleotide ribosomal RNA is filed under the name Escherichia coli. Its description in RNAcentral is "partial 23S ribosomal RNA". It matches the Rfam family "Bacterial large subunit ribosomal RNA". Lineage: Bacteria; Pseudomonadati; Pseudomonadota; Gammaproteobacteria; Enterobacterales; Enterobacteriaceae. The record is from RNAcentral.
ACGUGCUAAUCUGCGAUAAGCGUCGGUGAGGUGAUAUGAACCGUUAUAACCGGCGAUUUCCGAAUGGGGAAACCCAGUGUGUUUCGACACACUAUCAUUAACUGAAUCCAUAGGUUAAUGAGGCGAACCGGGGGAACUGAAACAUCUAAGUACCCCGAGGAAAAGAAAUCAACCGAGAUUCCCCCAGUAGCGGCGAGCGAACGGGGAGGAGCCCAGAGCCUGAAUCAGUGUGUGUGUUAGUGGAAGCGUCUGGAAAGGCGCGCGAUACAGGGUGACAGCCCCGUACACAAAAAUGCACAUAUUGUGAGCUCGAUGAGUAGGGCGGGACACGUGGUAUCCUGUCUGAAUAUGGGGGGACCAUCCUCCAAGGCUAAAUACUCCUGACUGACCGAUAGUGAACCAGUACCGUGAGGGAAAGGCGAAAAGAACCCCGGCGAGGGGAGUGAAAAAGAACCUGAAACCGUGUACGUACAAGCAGUGGGAGCCUCUUUAUGGGGUGACUGCGUACCUUUUGUAUAAUGGGUCAGCGACUUAUAUUCUGUAGCAAGGUUAACCGAAUAGGGGAGCCGAAGGGAAACCGAGUCUUAACUGGGCGUUAAGUUGCAGGGUAUAGACCCGAAACCCGGUGAUCUAGCCAUGGGCAGGUUGAAGGUUGGGUAACACUAACUGGAGGACCGAACCGACUAAUGUUGAAAAAUUAGCGGAUGACUUGUGGCUGGGGGUGAAAGGCCAAUCAAACCGGGAGAUAGCUGGUUCUCCCCGAAAGCUAUUUAGGUAGCGCCUCGUGAAUUCAUCUCCGGGGGUAGAGCACUGUUUCGGCAAGGGGGUCAUCCCGACUUACCAACCCGAUGCAAACUGCGAAUACCGGAGAAUGUUAUCACGGGAGACACACGGCGGGUGCUAACGUCCGUCGUGAAGAGGGAAACAACCCAGACCGCCAGCUAAGGUCCCAAAGUCAUGGUUAAGUGGGAAACGAUGUGGGAAGGCCCAGACAGCCAGGAUGUUGGCUUAGAAGCAGCCAUCAUUUAAAGAAAGCGUAAUAGCUCACUGGUCGAGUCGGCCUGCGCGGAAGAUGUAACGGGGCUAAACCAUGCACCGAAGCUGCGGCAGCGACACUAUGUGUUGUUGGGUAGGGGAGCGUUCUGUAAGCCUGUGAAGGUGGCCUGUGAGGGUUGCUGGAGGUAUCAGAAGUGCGAAUGCUGACAUAAGUAACGAUAAAGCGGGUGAAAAGCCCGCUCGCCGGAAGACCAAGGGUUCCUGUCCAACGUUAAUCGGGGCAGGGUGAGUCGACCCCUAAGGCGAGGCCGAAAGGCGUAGUCGAUGGGAAACAGGUUAAUAUUCCUGUACUUGGUGUUACUGCGAAGGGGGGACGGAGAAGGCUAUGUUGGCCGGGCGACGGUUGUCCCGGUUUAAGCGUGUAGGCUGGUUUUCCAGGCAAAUCCGGAAAACCAAGGCUGAGGCGUGAUGACGAGGCACUACGGUGCUGAAGCGACAAAUGCCCUGCUUCCAGGAAAAGCCUCUAAGCAUCAGGUAACAUCAAAUCGUACCCCAAACCGACACAGGUGGUCAGGUAGAGAAUACCAAGGCGCUUGAGAGAACUCGGGUGAAGGAACUAGGCAAAAUGGUGCCGUAACUUCGGGAGAAGGCACGCUGAUAUGUAGGUGAAGCGACUUGCUCGUGGAGCUGAAAUCAGUCGAAGAUACCAGCUGGCUGCAACUGUUUAUUAAAAACACAGCACUGUGCAAACACGAAAGUGGACGUAUACGGUGUGACGCCUGCCCGGUGCCGGAAGGUUAAUUGAUGGGGUUAGCGGUAACGCGAAGCUCUUGAUCGAAGCCCCGGUAAACGGCGGCCGUAACUAUAACGGUCCUAAGGUAGCGAAAUUCCUUGUCGGGUAAGUUCCGACCUGCACGAAUGGCGUAAUGAUGGCCAGGCUGUCUCCACCCGAGACUCAGUGAAAUUGAACUCGCUGUGAAGAUGCAGUGUACCCGCGGCAAGACGGAAAGACCCCGUGAACCUUUACUAUAGCUUGACACUGAACAUUGAGCCUUGAUGUGUAGGAUAGGUGGGAGGCUUUGAAGUGUGGACGCCAGUCUGCAUGGAGCCGACCUUGAAAUACCACCCUUUAAUGUUUGAUGUUCUAACGUUGGCCCGUAAUCCGGGUUGCGGACAGUGUCUGGUGGGUAGUUUGACUGGGGCGGUCUCCUCCUAAAGAGUAACGGAGGAGCACGAAGGUUGGCUAAUCCUGGUCGGACAUCAGGAGGUUAGUGCAAUGGCAUAAGCCAGCUUGACUGCGAGCGUGACGGCGCGAGCAGGUGCGAAAGCAGGUCAUAGUGAUCCGGUGGUUCUGAAUGGAAGGGCCAUCGCUCAACGGAUAAAAGGUACUCCGGGGAUAACAGGCUGAUACCGCCCAAGAGUUCAUAUCGACGGCGGUGUUUGGCACCUCGAUGUCGGCUCAUCACAUCCUGGGGCUGAAGUAGGUCCCAAGGGUAUGGCUGUUCGCCAUUUAAAGUGGUACGCGAGCUGGGUUUAGAACGUCGUGAGACAGUUCGGUCCCUAUCUGCCGUGGGCGCUGGAGAACUGAGGGGGGCUGCUCCUAGUACGAGAGGACCGGAGUGGACGCAUCACUG